UACGGGGGGAGCAAGCGUUGUUCGGAUUCACUGGGCGUAAAGGGUGCGUAGGCGGUCGGGUAAGUCUGAUGUGAAAUCUCACAGCUUAACUGUGAAACUGCAUUGGAUACUAUCCGGCUCGAGGAAUGGAGGGGAGACUGGAAUACUUGGUGUAGCAGUGAAAUGCGUAGAUAUCAAGUGGAACACCAGUGGCGAAGGCGAGUCUCUGGACAUUUCCUGACGCUGAGGCACGAAAGCCAGGGGAGCAAACGGG
This 253-nucleotide ribosomal RNA is filed under the name uncultured bacterium. Its description in RNAcentral is "partial 16S ribosomal RNA". It matches the Rfam family "Bacterial small subunit ribosomal RNA", at positions 524 to 776 of the family's 1533-position model. The record is from RNAcentral.